GUGCUUGGGCGAGAGUAGUACUAAGAUGGGCGACCCCCUGGGAAGUCCUCGUGUUACACCCCUUUUUUUU
Molecule: ribosomal RNA, 70 nt
Filed under: Mentha spicata (spearmint)
Lineage: Eukaryota; Viridiplantae; Streptophyta; Magnoliopsida; Lamiales; Lamiaceae
Source: RNAcentral